Molecule: non-coding RNA, 995 nt
Organism: Ictidomys tridecemlineatus (thirteen-lined ground squirrel)
Lineage: Eukaryota; Metazoa; Chordata; Mammalia; Rodentia; Sciuridae
Source: RefSeq, a predicted model, not a curated record
AGAGUUUAAGUGUAAAAGCAGAGCAAUGGCAGUGUUCUCCACAGGUGAGACUGGGCAACGGGAAUGUGUCAGCCUCGCUAAUGACGGCCGAGGCCUCGUCACUUAAGGAAGGGUUGAGAAAAGAGAAGAGCAACCAUGGCACAUCCAAGAUCUGUCCCGGGUCGAGGAGCUUUGGGUACUGGAAGUUGAAGAGUUCCCAUUUCACCAGCGGUGAUGGCUGAUCUGGAUGGUCAAUUUGACUGGAAUGAGAGACAACCUAGGAAUUAAUAAAGCACACACUGUCUGCAAGGGCGUUUCCAGACACCAUGGGAACGCGCGACAGCAAACCGAGCGGGAAAAACCCCCGGCACUGACUGUGGACAGGCGGGAGACCCGGAUGGAGCGGAAGGAGAAAGCCUGUCCGUGCGAGUAGCUGCGUCCUUCCAGCUGAGCGGAUGGAUAUUUUGCGGCGUCACUCCGGGAAGAAGCUGUUGGAGUUGGACUCCCGCCAGUGCCUCUGGAGGGCUCUUCCAGGCCUUGGGUCUCACCUUGCCUCGUUGGUCCCUCGUGUUCUGAGGAUCCAGCUUCUUGGACUGAGCAGCUGCUGGUUUCUGUGGCUCUUCAGUUUGCAGGGAUUGGAUCCAGGAUCUCAUGUGUGUCAGAUUAUCACAUCUUCCAUGAUCUGCAUACUGCUGCUGACAAAAUCUGCUUAAAAAUCCAACUUGAGAAUCUUUGUUUCUUUACUGGUGUGUCAGUGUUGUCUGCAACCUGCCAUGGGAGUUUUACUUUGCCUCUGCCUAACAUCCUGGGAUUUUUAAGUUAUCCAGUUAGCUUAGAAUUCUGGCAUUACUUGAGUAGAAUUAAACUCUAGAAUUGUUCAGACUUGAUACUUCAAUUCCUUAUGAGAAAAUUUGAUUUCAUUUUGGCCAUCCUUUACUUUUGGAAAGUACAGAUUUCCUUGAUACUUACAUAGGCCCAAAAGCUAAUUUUUGAAAAUUUUUGUUUUCACAAAGGGA